UACAGAGGGGGCAAGCGUUGUUCGGAAUUACUGGGCGUAAAGCGUGUGUAGGCGGUCCGCUAAGUCGGGUGUGAAAGCCCUGGGCUCAACCCAGGAACUGCGUCCGAUACUGGAAGGCUUGAAUCCGGGAGAGGGAUGCGGAAUUCCAGGUGUAGCGGUGAAAUGCGUAGAUAUCUGGAGGAACACCGGUGGCGAAGGCGGCAUCCUGGACCGGUAUUGACGCUGAGGCGCGAAAGCCAGGGGAGCAAACGGG
Molecule: ribosomal RNA, 253 nt
Filed under: uncultured bacterium
Lineage: Bacteria
Description: partial 16S ribosomal RNA
Rfam family: Bacterial small subunit ribosomal RNA
Source: RNAcentral